GGGGUGAGUAAUGUCUGGGAAACUGCCUGAUGGAGGGGGAUAACUACUGGAAACGGUAGCUAAUACCGCAUAACGUCGCAAGACCAAAGUGGGGGACCUUCGGGCCUCAUGCCAUCAGAUGUGCCCAGAUGGGAUUAGCUAGUAGGUGGGGUAAUGGCUCACCUAGGCGACGAUCCCUAGCUGGUCUGAGAGGAUGACCAGCCACACUGGAACUGAGACACGGUCCAG
This 228-nucleotide ribosomal RNA is filed under the name uncultured Enterobacterales bacterium. Its description in RNAcentral is "partial 16S ribosomal RNA". It matches the Rfam family "Bacterial small subunit ribosomal RNA", at positions 104 to 334 of the family's 1533-position model. The record is from RNAcentral. Lineage: Bacteria; Pseudomonadati; Pseudomonadota; Gammaproteobacteria; Enterobacterales.